AUUGAACGCUGGCGGAAUGCUUUACACAUGCAAGUCGAACGGCAGCACGGGGCAACCUGGUGGCGAGUGGCGAACGGGUGAGUAAUACAUCGGAACGUGCCCAAUCGUGGGGGAUAACGUAGCGAAAGUUACGCUAAUACCGCAUACGAUCUACGGAUGAAAGCGGGGGAUCGCAAGACCUCGCGCGAGUGGAGCGGCCGAUGUCAGAUUAGGUAGUUGGUGGGGUAAAGGCUCACCAAGCCAACGAUCUGUAGCUGGUCUGAGAGGACGACCAGCCACACCUGGAACUGAGACACGGUCCAGACUCCUACGGGAGGCAGCAGUGGGGAAUUUUGGACAAUGGGCGCAAGCCUGAUCCAGCCAUUCCGCGUGCAGGAUGAAGGCCUUCGGGUUGGUAAACU
This 401-nucleotide ribosomal RNA is filed under the name uncultured bacterium. RNAcentral describes it as "bacterial SSU rRNA". It matches the Rfam family "Bacterial small subunit ribosomal RNA", at positions 30 to 431 of the family's 1533-position model. The record is from RNAcentral.